RNAcentral lists this ribosomal RNA (253 nucleotides) under uncultured bacterium. RNAcentral describes it as "partial 16S ribosomal RNA". It matches the Rfam family "Bacterial small subunit ribosomal RNA", at positions 524 to 776 of the family's 1533-position model. The record is from RNAcentral.
UACGUAGGGCGCAAGCGUUAUCCGGAAUUAUUGGGCGUAAAGAGCUCGUAGGCGGUUUGUCGCGUCUGCUGUGAAAGACCGGGGCUCAACUCCGGUUCUGCAGUGGGUACGGGCAGACUAGAGUGAUGUAGGGGAGACUGGAAUUCCUGGUGUAGCGGUGAAAUGCGCAGAUAUCAGGAGGAACACCGAUGGCGAAGGCAGGUCUCUGGGCAUUAACUGACGCUGAGGAGCGAAAGCGUGGGGAGCAAACAGG